This 1411-nucleotide long non-coding RNA is filed under the name Salmo salar (Atlantic salmon). RNAcentral's name for it is "lncRNA (ENSSSAG00000098139.1)". Lineage: Eukaryota; Metazoa; Chordata; Actinopteri; Salmoniformes; Salmonidae. The record is from RNAcentral.
CUCGUCUACACCCGGGGGCGCCCUGUGCGAACCCCCCACCCCUCGUCUACACCCGGGGGCGCCCUGUGCGAACCCCCCACCCCUCGUCUACACCAGGGGGCGCCCUGUGCGAACCCCCCACUCGUCUACACCCGGGGGCGCCCUGUGCGAAUCCCCCCCUCGUCUACACCCGGGGGCGCCCUGUGCCGCCCCGGCAAGUUGCCGCCAGCGGCGGCUGCCCAUGUCGCCCGUACCUAAAUCCACAAAAUAAAUCUCUUUUCCAAAAUUCGUCAUCUCUCUCAUGUCUUAUUCGACUAGUAUUUUUGAAAGUGUAAGGAUAAUAAUUCAUAGUUGUUCUGAAAUGUUUAUUGCUUGCCAACAUUUUACUCCCUCCUCUGUUUAAUAUAACACACAUACAUUUAAUUAUUAAUUUCGGUUACCUAUCCUGACAUGAAGUUUGUUCUAUAGAAUGUAUUUGACUGUGUGCCACAGAAGGUAUUUGACUCUAGCCACAAAACUAUGGAAAUUAGAAGGGGGGGAGGGAGAAUUCAGUCAGGGGGGAGAUCUUCGGCACAACACCGGCCCCGGAAGAGGACCGCUUCUGGGCCGAUUCCUCAUUGGUGGCUGGGAUACCUCAUCGUUGAGAUAGUUCAACUGCUACGUAGAUACAUGGAUAGCAUGAGAAAAAACAACCACCUUUAUAAUACAUCCCAUUCGCGUUGUGAACGGUCAUCCAACACGGAAUUCCAACAGGGGAAAUCUGGCCUCUUUCUGGAGCGCCGACUUCCUGACACUGAAGGUCACUGACCUCAUGAUUCGACCUCGUUUUUCUCGAGUUCCCAGUUGUCUUGAAAGCGCCAUAAUGCUGCACAAAUGAUGGACAUGACAGGCCACUUUGACACUGACAACCUGAGAUGAAGGAAAACGACCGUGUCUGGAAUCAGUAAAUAUCCCAGGACAAUGACCCAAAACACACCUCCAGGAUGUGUAAGGGCUAUUUGACCAAGAAUGAGAGUGAUGGAGUGCUGCAUCAGAUGACCUGGCCUCCACAAUCACCCUUACCUCAACCCAAUUGAGAUGAGUUGGACCGCAGAGUGAAGGAAAAGCAGCCAACAAGUGCUCAGCAUAUGUGGGAACUCCUUCAAGAAUGUUGGAAAAGCAUUCCAGGUGGCUACCUCAUGAACAUUGCUGAGAGAAUGCCAAGAGUCUGCAAAGCUGUCAUCAAGGCAAAGGGCGGCUACUUUGUAGAAUCUCAAAUAUACAACACUUUUUGGGUUACUACAUGAUUCCAUGUGUUAUUUCAUAGUUUUGCUGUCUUCACUAUUGUUAUACAAUGUAUAAAAUAGUAAAAAUAAAGGGGAAACCCUUGAUUGAGUAGGUUUGUCCAAACUUUUGACCUUUAUUGUAUAUACAGUUGAAGUCAGAAGUUUAC